Molecule: long non-coding RNA, 1590 nt
Organism: Apodemus sylvaticus (European woodmouse)
Lineage: Eukaryota; Metazoa; Chordata; Mammalia; Rodentia; Muridae
Exons: 3
Source: RefSeq, a predicted model, not a curated record
CAACCAUUUCCUGGCGGAAGUGUUCUCAGGGAUGUUUCCUGUUUCUUCAGCGAGUCCUCCUUCCACUAACACUGCUGCGAACAGGAAGCAUCGCGGCCGGUGCCCUGCCCCUCUGUGCACUGUCUACCAGAUUCCCAGGCAGUGAAACAAUGACCAGCCGCGGCAGGAACCCUGGCCCUCCGGGGUGGAUGAACCGCUUCAAGAGCACCGUGACCGGGUAGCACAGGACCCCACCAGCUCAACUGAGACGUGACAUGGGGGACAGUAUUUCUGCUCAAUCGGUCGGUGGUCCAGCACCUCUGCUACGGCCUCCUCCAGAGCUGCGUCGCUUCUGGGGAGGGGGGUGGUUAACAGAAAAUGGAAAGAAAGAAGCAGAUAAGAGUUCUCCAGCUGCCCAGAAGGAUCUCCAGCUCCCCACCAUGAGGAAGGAGUGCAUGCCCUAUGCAAACACACAGACAUCACUUUACCCGCCUUACCCCUCUCCACUCUCUGACGUGGCAUUGGAAGCAGCAUUUGACCAGCAUAUGGAGUCUUGCUUCAAACUCAGAAUCAUCCUGUCUUAGCCUCUCCAAUGCUGAAAUUGCAUGUGCAGACCACUGUUCCUGGCAACAUGAGACUCUUGCAAAGCAAUAAGAGAAUCCUAUACCCAAGACCCCAGUCACGUGACACAGUAUCUCCAGAGACUAGGGAAGUUCCCUAUCUCCAAAACAGCAAAGAUUUUCCAAGAUGGCUGUGGACCAAAGUGACAGGAAAACUCUAGAUAAAUGGCUCAGAGAUGACUGACUCCCUGAAGCCAGAAGGGGUGUGAACACUGUGGCCUCGUGUCCUUGCUGAAGAGGACCAGAGCAAGGCUGAGAGAGGAGUGUGAGGAAGGGCCGAGACAGUCCAAAUCCCUGUAACAGUGCAGCUGAAUCACGGCCAGCCAGACCCCAGCGUGAGGAAAGGGACCAAAGUCACUUCACAGCGUGAAGGGAAGAGAAGUGGUCUCCAAUUGUCAAAUGAGCAUCAAACUCUGGGGCUCAGCCAAGGCCUGCAGCAGAUGGCAGGAACGCGUUGUCACCGGUGGCAGUCCUGGGCCUGGGGUGACCAAAGACAUGCAGCCUUCUCUUCCUUCCCACCCCACAUUAGCACCACCCUCUGCUGCCCAGGCCCGCCUUGAUUGGACGUCCCCAAACCAUAGUGUGUGUGUGUGUGUGUGUGUGUGGCGCGCUCGGGUGCACACUGUGAGAUCCUCUCUGCACUACUCACUGUCAGGAAGCGGCAGAACACCACCUGGACAAUCACAGAUUAGGACUGAGUCUAACCCUGCUCCUUACUUGAUAUGGGGUCCUGGUUCCUAUAUAAAGCAAGGGCAGGACUGGCAGGAUGGCUCAGUGGGCAAAGGCUGUCAGUCUUGACACCCGUGUUCAGUUCCUAAGACCAACAUGGUGGGCAGCGUUGGGAAUCUUGCCAAGCUGUUCUCUGACCUUAACAGAUGCGCUUGCUGCUGCAUGCUUCCCGCCCCACCCCCACAAAAUGUAUAAAUAAAUGUUAACAAUUUUUAUUGUAUGGGCUAGAGAGAUGGCUCAUGUAUUGUUCUCCAGAGGAUCC